Clupea harengus (Atlantic herring) is the source of this 1548-nucleotide long non-coding RNA. Lineage: Eukaryota; Metazoa; Chordata; Actinopteri; Clupeiformes; Clupeidae. The record is from Ensembl.
CUAAAUCUAUUUUAACUUUCGGAGACGAGACGAAAAUGUUGGUGGUUGACUAACUCACAAUAUAUAUAUAUUUUUUCUAAACUUUUAUUCUAAACUAACAUGCACCAUUGGUUGAAUGUUGCCCAGUCCUGUCCCUCCUCCACUACCUGAGAUUUGUCUGUCUGUCUGCAUGCACGUCCCGAGCCACGUGAGCUUUAUGAGGCCGACUUUGUCAGGCAGUAAUUGCUUACGGCCAUACCACACUGAGCACGCCCGAUCUCGUCCGAUCUCGGAAGCUAAGCAGUGUCGGGCCUGGUUAGUACUUGGAUGGGAGACCGCCUGGGAAUACCAGGUGCUGUAAGCUUUUCUGUCUCUGCCUCCCAGCGCGCCCCUGCUGGCCGCAGCAGUCAGCACAAUUCAGCCAGUUAAACUUGGAACACUCUUUUGUGUUUUUUUUUUUCUUUCUUUCUUUCUGCCUGUCUGUUAGUCUGUCUGUCUGUCUGUCUGUGUGUCUGUGUGUCUGCCUGCCUGUCUGUCUGCACGUCCCGAGCCACGUGAGCUUUAUGAGGCCGACUUUGUCAGGCAGUAAUUGCUUACGGCCAUACCACGCUGAGCACGCCCGAUCUCGGAAGCUAAGCAGUGUCGGGCCUGGUUAGUACUUGGAUGGGAGACCGCCUGGGAAUACCAGGUGCUGUAAGCUUUUCUGUCUCUGCCUCCCAGCGCGCCCCUGCUGGCCGCAGCAGUCAGCACAAUUCAGCCAGUUAAACUUGGAACACUCUUUUGUGUUUUUUUUUUCUCUUUCUUUCUUUCUGCCUGUCUGUUAGUCUGUCUGUCUGUCUGUCUGUCUGUCUCUGCCUGCCUGCGUGUCUGCACGUCCCGAGCCACGUGAGCUUUGUGAGGCCGACUUUGUCAGGCAGUAAUUGCUUACGGCCAUACCACACUGAGCACGCCCGAUCUCGUCCGAUCUCGGAAGCUAAGCAUUGUCGGGCCUGGUUAGUACUUGGAUGGGAGACCGCCUGGGAAUACCAGGUGCUGUAAGCUUUUCUGUCUCUGCCUCCCAGUGCGCCCCUGCUGGCCGCAGCAGUCAGCACAAUUCAGCCAGUUAAACUUGGAACACUCUUUUGUGUUUUUUCUUUUCUUUCUUUCUUUCUGCCUAUCUGUUAGUCUGUCUGUGUGUCUGUGUGUCUGUGUGUCUGCCUGCCUGUCUGUCUGCACGUCCCGAGCCACGUGAGCUUCAUGAGGCCGACUUUGUCAGGCAGUAAUUGCUUACGGCCAUACCACACUGAGCACGCCCGAUCUUGUCCGAUCUCGGAAGCUAAGCAGUGUCGGGCCUGGUUAGUACUUGGAUGGGAGACCGCCUGGGAAUGGCUCAUGACCCCCCCAAGUACAUAUUGCUCAACACUGGGAUCGAUCGAAAAUGAUCAAAACGGAUGGUUCCAUCUGGUGGUCAGUGUUAUUUACAGAAAUUGUCAUGUACAAGGCCUGGUUUAUUGAAAUAUACUAGUCUGCUGAAUGUUUUGUUUAUUAUUUUCAUAGUUACAUUUUUGGGCUGAAUUAAGAAAAGGUGUC